CGCGUAGGCGGGAUGGCAAGUCGGUCGUGAAAUCCUUCGGCCCAACCGAAGAACGUCGGCCGAUACUGCCGUUCUUGAGGGAUGCAGAGGAGACUGGAAUUCCCGGUGUAGCGGUGAAAUGUGUAGAGAUCGGGAGGAACACCGGUGGCGAAGGCGGGUCUCUGGGCAUUUCCUGACGCUGAGGCGCGAAAGCGUGGGGAGCAAACGGGAUUAGAUACCCCGGUAGUCCACGCUGUAAACGAUGACGACUAGGUGUGGGGGGGUUAGUCCCUUCCGUGCCGCAGCUAACGCAUUAAGUCGUCCGCCUGGGGAGUACGGCCGCAAGGUUGAA
RNAcentral lists this ribosomal RNA (331 nucleotides) under uncultured bacterium. RNAcentral's name for it is "bacterial SSU rRNA". It matches the Rfam family "Bacterial small subunit ribosomal RNA", at positions 568 to 898 of the family's 1533-position model. The record is from RNAcentral.